AAACAGAUUUAAAUAUUAUUUGCAAAGCCUUGCGGACUGGCAUUGCUCAUGGAAGCCAUGUUUUACUAAUCUAUUGUUAUUGCUGCAAGUUAUACUAACAUGCACUUACCCAGUAUGUACAACCGUAGGUACCAAAUCAAUUAGAGAUGGCUUCGAGUCCUACCCUAGUUGUCAUGUCAGGAAGCCAUCCAGCUUUCUUGCAGAAGAAGGGUUCUAUGAGUAUUGGCUGUCUUGAAUGGCACCUGCGGUCUUUCAUCUCCAGUAGAAGCUUGAAAGUCUCUACCUGACCUAAAACUUGUAUUGUCAAAAUGAGAUGAUUGUAGAACAUCAGCAAAUUUGCAAAAUUUUCGUUUUGCUAAAGACCAACUUUUUACGAAAUCCUUUUUGGAGUUAAACAUUUCACUUUGACCCAUCUUACCCUAUGCAAUAAACACGCUUGAAGUAUUCCUGUAAACGACAGUGUAUGAGUUAAAUAUUUUGUCAUUAUUGCAGAAAAGCUGUAAAAAAAAUGGAAUAAAAAGACAAAAAUGUAGGCUUGGUUUAAUUGAGCACGUUUGUGGACGGUUGCAGAAAUGCAUGAUAUACCCUUUAGUCCCAGGUUGAGCAGAACUCAGUAUCUGCACAUGUUACAGGUACUUAAAUGCAAUAUAGAAUAUACAUCCGCAGGUGUGUUCAUAGAAUACAUGGAACCUUCAAUGAUACACUAAAGUGCAAUUCAGUAAAAAGAAGCGUACAGUCACCAGUUAAAAUAAUAGACUAGCUCUAAACGAGAAAACAAUGGAUAGAACUAAAGAAAAAAAAGUAAAAAAAAAAAACAGGCACCAUAUCCAAAGGACAACUGAAAAAUAACUAACAUCAAAAUAUUCAAGCUGCAAACCUAAACAGUACAACGUAAACAACAUACAUGUCGUUCCAAGACAUGAAGUACUGACUUGGAUAUCUUCUUGCAGUCAAUACAAAUUAUCAAUUCUUCGAACAAAAUUUCAAUUUUUCUAAAGAGAACGACUUGUGCAUUUUUAAUUACAGUAUUUAUAAAACACUGUGUUUUUAAUGAUUACCAUUCAAAACCGGUUACUGAAGGAGCUCCGAUCCUGUUGUAAGGGCCUGUUUUAACUAAUGUCUUGUUGGUAUAUUAAUAUACUUGUUGCGAUUUAAUCUCCUUUUGGGUCAUUUCAGUUUUGCACAUAGAAGAAGAAGGUCGUUUGCAAAUAAAUGCCAGGGUUGUUUUUGCUUCUAAUCGAAGGAAUCCUCGACUGUUUAUACUUGCUGAUGUUUAAUAUAUCAUGAUAGAUGGACGUAAUUAAUCUAUGCGCAUUUAGAUAUUGUGAUGGAAUACUUAUAUAGUAUUUUUAGAUUUUUGUUAAUUGAAUUAUCAGUUAUGCAGUUUAUUUAUAAAUCAGGGAGGUAGGCUGAUAUAAAUUUGCUUACUUUUGAUAUAGUUUGUAUUUAUUGUACGGAUAUAUCUGUGUAAUUACCGAAUGACUUAAUCGUUAAAUUGAUUAAUAGCUUUUCUGUUAUACUUUUCAGUUAUCAUAAUGACUAUUUGUUUUGUGACCUGCUACAAUUUAAUCCUGGAGUAUUGAGGUGCUUAUUUGUGUAUUACUGGAAGGUAUACUUUUAAACGAGAGGUAAAAGAGCAAGACGAUAUUCGAAGAUAAUGUCACGAUCAACACGUCAAAAACCCAAGGAGUUCCGCAACACAGUCCAAUUGAUACAGCCACACCGCAACGUCUCAGGUGAGUUGGCCCUGAUGUAGAGUAUUUAUAACGACUUGGGAGACCACGUUAACAUUACGAUGGUUAAUGGCGAAUUCAUAGAGUAAACAAUAUUGUUACGCUCAGAUCACAUUAAUAAGAGACAAGGUCAGAUAUUUCUUAUUACGGAAGCAGACUGAUAUCUAAAAUUUCAGUCAAGGUGUACACGCACAUUACUGUAUGCAUUAUAAAUAAUCAUCUCUUGGACCUCGUGGAAACUUUAGAUAGCAAAAACCGGCACCUGCAAGAGGGUCACUUAGACCUUCAUUCCCUCACCAAAACCCCUAUUAACUUAGCAGUAUUACAAGUCUAUCUUUCUUUAUAUCCAAAUACAUAAGUAUCAGAUGAAUUUUUAAAAGGUUCUAACAAAGGUUUUUUGAUUAUACAACCAGCGCCCUAGAGUCCAAACUUCUUGUCAAACUUUAAUUUCCGUUAAUUUCCGCAAAACCCUGCUGUAGCUAAUGAGAAAGUGAUGUAGGAAGAGCAGUUAAGCAGAAUAGCUGUUCCUUUUAAAGAAAUGCCUAGGCAGGGUGAAGGAGCUAUUGUUUCAUUAGUGCAUUAUUGCAAAAUGGCCAAAGUGGACAUUAAAUCUGCCUUUCGCCCUUUCGCCUUUUGAUGGCUCAUAAUUAUGAUUUUGAAAUUAUUAGGCUUCAAAUUAGGAGGGGACUAUUUUACGGACAAGGUGUUACAUACGAGUGUGCAAUCUCUUGCUGCCAUUGGAAAAAAGUUUGCUAAUUUAUUUCAAAAUCUUGUCCGGUACAAGAGGAAAUCCGAAAGGAAAAAUAUGGCCAAUUUGUCCUGUUUUUAUAUAUAUAUGCAAAUAUCUUACCAUACCCUUAAAAGCCGAAAAAAAAAAAAAAAAAAAAAAAAAAAAAAAAAAAAAACGUAUAUCAGAUUCCAAUAAUGAUGGUUUUAGGGCUAGAAUUGCUGCAGUUUCAAAAACUCAGAACAGGAAAUAAUAUCGUUACUAAGUAAGAAGAGCUUCGCGAGCUGCAGGCCUUUUAGUUGAUCUUUAAAUUUCUGUGGCAGAGCCAUUUCCUUUCUAGACUAUUUAGUAGUGUUUUCUAUGAUAUUAUGUGCAGUUUGUUAAAGUUUAUAUCAUUUUAAAGUGACCAGUUCAAUAACAGGUGAUUUGAGUGUCUGGUUAUCAUUUCUUGGCAUCUUUUAAUGGUUACUGCAGCUUCCACAACUUACACUGAUUGGUUAGUUCAGUCCUAAACUUCUUUACGGUUAGCGCUGGCGUACAUGAACUAGGUCAGCUGUUUUUCGAAGUAGAUAGAUAUUCUACAUUUGGCCUUCUAGGUGGUAUAGACGUUCUUAUAUGCAAUAGCAUAACCCUUUUAGAGUUAGUGCCGAUCAUGUCAGCUUCCCUUGCAUGGACAGACGAUUUCCACCUUACUGCACUAUUAACCCAUCUUUUAAUCAAGAAUGUAGUUCGUCAUGCAAAACGUCUGUAUAUUUCGGACAUUUCUUUUAUUGUAAAAUUAAUAAUCUUGAACAUCUUACUCACAGAUUUAUGAUACGUUAAAUGCUUAUCAUUUUUGAUAGGUUGCACCGGACAAUUGAUAUCAGGCAACCUGUAACGCUUGAUUUACUUCGUAAACUUAUACAGGUAACAAAUACUGUUUGCUCUUUUAUAUUUGAGGCAUUAUUCUUUUCAGCAGUAUUUUCCCUGACCAUUUUGAUUUUUAAGGAUAUGUGAGCUUGUACACACGAACUCAAAUUUACUCAUCGGAUAUAAGUGAUAAAGGUCACGCAUUACGUGAGGGAGACGUUACGAUUGUAAGUAAUGGUGAACUAUGCAUAAUUCUUCUUUCAUCGAAAACCAAUCAGAGAAAGGUGAAGGAGUAGCUAUUCAUUGACUACCGACCAUUGUUCUACUUGACCCUUAGAUUAAUAGAGAGAUAAAUGGUUGUUCGACCAUCUAGUGAUUCAAUCUAUUUAUUUGUGCGUUUAAACGGUGUACCCGUCAUACCUA
This is a long non-coding RNA of Mercenaria mercenaria, 3732 nucleotides long. RefSeq lists it as uncharacterized. The record is from RefSeq and is a predicted model, not a curated record. The transcript is spliced from 2 exons. NCBI's taxonomy places the organism in Eukaryota, Metazoa, Mollusca, Bivalvia, Venerida, Veneridae.